AUUGAACGCUGGCGGCAGGCCUAACACAUGCAAGUCGAGCGAGCGGCGGACGGGUGAGUAAUGUCUGGGAAACUGCCUGAUGGAGGGGGAUAACUACUGGAAACGGUAGCUAAUACCGCAUACCCUCAGAUGUGCCCAGAUGGGAUUAGCUAGUAGGUGGGGUAACGGCCCACCUAGGCGACGCUCCCUAGCUGGUCUUAGAGAAUGACCAGCCAUACUGGAACGGAGACACGGUCCAGAAUCCGACGGGAGGCAGCAGUGGGGAAUAUUGCACAAAGGGCGCAAGCCUGAGGCAGCCAUGCCGCGUGUGUGAAGAAGGCCUUCGGGUGGUAAAGCACUUUCAGCGGGGAGGCGUUACCCGCAGAAGAAGCACCGGCUAACUCCGUGCCAGAAGCCGCGGUAAUUC
Molecule: ribosomal RNA, 406 nt
Filed under: uncultured bacterium
Lineage: Bacteria
Description: partial 16S ribosomal RNA
Rfam family: Bacterial small subunit ribosomal RNA
Source: RNAcentral